GACGCAGUAGCUCAGUUGGUAGAGCAACAACUACUUUUCGCUUUGGGCAAAAAAAGUUCCUAAGCUGUGUGUCACAGGUUCGAUUCCUGUCUGCGUCA
This 98-nucleotide transfer RNA is filed under the name Epilithonimonas hungarica. RNAcentral's name for it is "Chryseobacterium hungaricum tRNA_Ala_AGC". It matches the Rfam family "tRNA". Rfam says of the family: Transfer RNA (tRNA) molecules are approximately 80 nucleotides in length. Their secondary structure includes four short double-helical elements and three loops (D, anti-codon, and T loops). The record is from RNAcentral. Lineage: Bacteria; Pseudomonadati; Bacteroidota; Flavobacteriia; Flavobacteriales; Weeksellaceae.